RNAcentral lists this long non-coding RNA (1332 nucleotides) under Brassica napus (rape). RNAcentral's name for it is "long non-coding RNA (BNAP_LNC013743)". The record is from RNAcentral. Lineage: Eukaryota; Viridiplantae; Streptophyta; Magnoliopsida; Brassicales; Brassicaceae.
GUAGAUCAUGUAACAAAUAACAAGUAAUGAAGUAAGUAACAGAGCAAAUGACGAGUAAGUAGUAAAAAUAAUAAUGAUACUUGAUACUUGAAUUGAUCUUGCAAGUAAUAAAAAUUGUUGACUUGUUACUUACUUUGACAACACAGAGUACUUGAAUUUUUAACGCGGGUACAAAUCAAAUAGCGAAUUUAAUACGAGUAAUGAGUAAUGAUGCCCGGCGCACUAAACAUACCGGAUUAAACCGAUAGAUCAAUCACGGAACCAAAAAAACCAGAAGAAUAAAAAUAGAAGAAGGAACUGAAGAGAAUCGGAAUUGAACCAGAGGCUGUGGCAAGAUUAGAUUGGUAGUGUGUCUCCUUUAUCCUCUAAGUUAUCCAUCGUCCAUUUCAAUGCGUUCUUGCUGCUCUGUGAGAAAUCCAUCGUGAUUCCUAUCUUCCUGUGUUUCAUCAUCUUUCUCGACUUUACUGAUCUGAUUUUGUCUGUGUGAAUGAGAAACAAGCAUUGUGAGGAUGUGCUUCUAGCUUUCAAUGCUAAAGUUUAUGGGAUUGUUAUGGAUUUGGAUCAAUGAUAACUCAUUUGUUUUAAUGUGAAUAACGUGCAUUUUAAAGAGGUAAUUGUGAAAGAAACCAUAGAAGAUAGCGAAAUUAGCUAAAUACAAAAACCAGUAAAAAAAUUAGUUGCGUUGAAGAUAAGGUAUAAACAAAAUGAAGAUUAAGCCCCUCCCCCGUUAAAAUAAUUAGUUGCAUGGAAGAAGCCAUGUACUAGCGGUAUGUCGUUUACUGUCCUAAAUGGUGAAACAAAAUUAAUGUUGAUGUCGCAUGCAUUUAUAUUGUCUCCGUUUAAUGUUAACCUUGGUUAACCAUCUACCUAGCUCGUUGCUCCAUUAAAUAGUUAUGUUCGGUGAGUAGUAGAAACACACAAGUGAUAUAAAAGGGGUUCUUAUAUGAAGUAAAGUAGGAAUUUACUUACGAAUUACGAUCCACGAUUUCCAAGUCUGAGAUUUGAUUUGAUUUUUGAUAAAUGUCAGAAGACUGGUUGUCAUUUCAUAACUGAUGUGACGGAUUGCGGAUUUGCGGUAAUCAUGAAGGAUGGCGAGAGGUUCGAAACUUUAGAGGCCAUUGUUAGACGCCGGUAUUGUGUACAAGAGUCGAAUCUGAUGGUGAUAACUUAUAGAUUACCUGACUGGAUGCUUUCCCUAAGUGGUAUGACUCCACGUAAGUAGUCACGUAUUAGCUACGAUUUAUUUUGUGAUUAAAUAAGAUACAACUAAAGCGAUUAAAUCGUGACUAAUUGGUCACGAGUAUUUGGUGACUAAUUGGUAUUUAACAGUUA